AAAAAAAAGGAAAAGAAAGAAAGGAACCCAUUGAGGUCCAGGUUAUUUCCAAGCCUAGGGGCCCCAGAGGGGCAACACCUUGUGAAAAAGGUAAGGAUGCCUUCAGCAGCAAGUCACGUAAUUUCCCAGUAAAAAUGACUUUAAAACAAUGGGCUUAAUAGCUCAUGUGACGUCCAGAGCUGGCUAAGUCCACAGUGUGACAUUGCUGUCAAGGACCCAGCAAUGUCCUUUCUGCCCCUCUGCUCUGCCCCCUUUAGGGUGUCAUCAUGUUUCCUCUCAUAGACACAAACAGUUGCAGAAGUUUCAGGUGUCACACACAAACACAACACUAUCCCUUCAAAAACAGGUGUGUGUAUUUCUCAUAAAUAGCAUGCAAAAUCUUCCCUAGCAUGGCCAUGCAUGCUGUUGCCCUCAAGAAGACCUAGGUUGGGUCAUAUAACCAUGGCUAAAUCCAGUCACUGAGGAGAGUAAAAGUAUGACUGAUGUAGCCACUAGUGGUGCAUAGUACACAGGAGGGUGCACCCCAGAACAAAACUGGGGCUCUAUCAGUAAGGGGGACUAGGGAAAGAAGCGACAGCCAAUGGUGUCCACCUCUGAAUUUACCAGUCUAGAAGGACUUCAUGUGGUUUUUUUCCCCAGUCCAUUCAGAGUUGACUUCCUAUUUUAGCCUUUAGAAGGCAAUCUAUUACUCUUCGUUAGCCUGAAUUGCUCUGCUGCCCAUCCCUAUAUUGAUCCCAUGUAUCUCAACUUUAUUGACUUGUUUAUAAAAACUCUAAGGAAGGAACCAUGCGUGAUAAUAACAUAUGACCUCCUCCCGUUUGCGGUGUGCAUCAUAAUAUAAAGACGGCUUCUACCUAUAGUUUCAUGGUUACUCAAAACAGCACUGUGAGAAGAUCAAGACCAGAAUCUGCUUCACCAGGAGGAGGACCAGAGGGGUGGCCGCUGCUCCAAAAUCUCCUGAUCAAUUAAAAGAUUAUCCCUCAUCCUCAGUACUUCCUAAAAUGAAUUUUGUUUCAUUAAUAUCCAGUUUUCAAAACAUUGGCAUGAGCCUAUCUUGUUCUGACCAGUAGCCGACAUCAAAAGCCGCAUUAAGUUUUGUUCCAAAGAUAAAGUGUUUUAAUAAUUUCUCUUUUAUCCUCUUGUGUCCUUUCCUUUCAUCUGUGUUGCAGCUUCGGUUUGCUAUUUACAAAUGUCAUGUUGAAAUUUUAUUGUAUGAAAAAUUAUCUCAAAAGAUUAGUGAAUUCACAAUUGCAAUCCGAUUUUGAAUGUCUUCAUUGUUUGUUUGUUUGUUUGUUUUGCCAAAAUUUAAUUUGAAUAUAUAUCAGGGUUGGUUUGAAUCAUUCAAUAAUAAAAUUCAUUUCAUACCUCUUA
This is a long non-coding RNA of Leopardus geoffroyi (Geoffroy's cat), 1371 nucleotides long. RefSeq lists it as uncharacterized. The transcript is spliced from 2 exons. The record is from RefSeq and is a predicted model, not a curated record. NCBI's taxonomy places the organism in Eukaryota, Metazoa, Chordata, Mammalia, Carnivora, Felidae.